AUACGGAGGAUCCGAGCGUUAUCCGGAUUUAUUGGGUUUAAAGGGUGCGCAGGCGGCCAUUUAAGUCAGCGGUUAAAUCGUGGGGCUCAACCCCAUUCUGCCGUUGAUACUGGGUGGCUUGAUUGCGGUCGAGGUUGGCGGAAUUCGUUGUGUAGCGGUGAAAUGCAUAGAUAUGACGAAGAACACCGAUUGCGUAGGCAGCUGACCAGAUCGCAAAUGACGCUCAUGUACGAAAGUGCGGGGAUCGAACAGGAUUAGAUACCCUGGUAGUCCGCACAGUAAACGAUGAAUACUUGUUUUCGGCGAUAUAAUGUCGGAGGCAAAGCGAAAGCGAUAAGUAUUCCACCUGGGGAGUACGCCGGCAACGGUGAAACUCAAAGGAAUUGACGGGG
RNAcentral lists this ribosomal RNA (392 nucleotides) under uncultured bacterium. RNAcentral's name for it is "partial 16S ribosomal RNA". It matches the Rfam family "Bacterial small subunit ribosomal RNA", at positions 523 to 918 of the family's 1533-position model. The record is from RNAcentral.